CAAAGUAAUUUAUUAAUAUUUUCCUGAGAGACUAAAUUCAGUACAGUAUUUGUUUUCAUAACAUCCAACAUGUCUUAUGUCAAACUUAACCACUUUCCAUGCAGUGACUGUGGUGGGGUGAUCUAUUUUAUUUGACUACCCUCAAUGUAAUUCAUUUGGGUAGUUCUAAAGCAUAUCAGUGAUCAAAAUGUUUCUCCCUACAGUUACUCCUGCAUUCUCAAUCAGUUUCUUCUGCACAUCAUCUAAAGAAAAUUUAUGUGGUGUGAUUACACUCUUUAAUACCAGGAUUUCUAAAACUAGGAAAAACACCAUUUAAAACAUCAGUGUUUCCAGUCAAGGAUAGUUCAAUUAAAUUUCAUCAGUACAUUAUAUUAUAGUUUAACUCAUGCUAGAAAUGUUAAAACCCAAGAUCUUCUGAGUCACAUAAUACCAACAUUUCAUAUUAAUGAAUAAAUUACUUGGGUUUCAUACAAAGAUAUUAAGUGAUGAGAAACAGAAAAAGCCAAGCUUUCAAGAGCUCUUUUAAAAAAAUACAGAAGCUAACUAAUGAACACAACUACACAAAAUAUACACUAACCAAUUGCAAACUAAACUAAAGAUUAACCUUAAAAAAGUAUAUUUUAGAACUUCGUGAUACCCUCAUAAAAUGCUCAUAAGGGUAUUAUUACCUCAUAGGGGUAUUAAAACAAUAGUCAUUAUUUUAGUUACUGUGCAUCAAGUCUAAAAGAUCCAGAUAAAGGAAAUGUUUUGUUUUUGAUUGAAUUUAAAUACUUUAAAACUGGAAAUAUUUAAUAAUUGAUAGUAUAAUUAAAUUUUAAAGAAUAUACGCAAAUGAUUUGAACAGGUUUUAUAUUCAGUAACUUGCAUGGUUUUUACACUGGCACUUUUAUCACUAAUUUAGGAGAAUCAGAUGCAUUUCCCUCCAUAUACGCAGGCACUAAGAUUUCAAAUUUAUAAAUAUGGUAGUAUUUUUAAAUAUUAAAUUUUUACAUGAAUAUUGGGUUCAUCCUUGUUUUCCUUGGUUUCCUAGGUAUUAUCCAGUUUUGUAAGGAAAACACAGUUAUAUCACAAUCAAAACUUGUCUUGGUUACUAGACUGUAGCCAUAACUGGGUUACAGUCACUUAGAUUCAUUAUUUGGAAUUAUACUUACUAAGGCAGAGCUAAAUGAAACUUAUCUUCUAGAACAAUUUCACAUUUGCAUUUACCUGCACUGCAAAUGGGCUUAAGCAAUAGUUUAGCUGUUAGGAAAUAUUUAAUUAACUUAAACUUGUUAUCUGUGACUACUCAGAACUCCCUAGAGUAGUCAACUUUCUCUCUGAGUUCACCUUAAACUAUUGUAUCUGAUCCAUUCCAAAUAGAAGAUUUUUGAAUAGAAGUUAAACUUCAUUAAGGUACUAACUUUAAAUCUGGAAGAAAAUUAAUGUACUGAAGUUUUCAAGUUUGACAAGUUCAUUAAAAUUUUUUAGCAUGUCUUGAUACAUUUACUUAUCAGCUUUUUACUCUUCUGCUGGCAUUUCCUUAAUGUUUGUUUGCUUCACCUCUCUGGUUCAUUGGAUUGCUAUUAUUUAUGUUUUCAUGGACUUUAUCUUCACAGUUUACUGUAUCUUGUAAAGCCUUUUCCACAUCUGUUUGGCCAGCUGUACUGGCUGUUUUUGGCAAGGUCAUCUGAAGUGCACACCACAGGGUAGUGCGUGCUUUCCGAGUAGCCACACACAUCUCUUUAAUUGCUGAAGCAAGGGCAAAAACAUCUGUAAAGAAAACACUCAGUGUCAGUUCAUAUUAGAUACCUUUUAUGUAUCCUUUAACUCUUAAAAAGCCCAAUGCUGUGCUAUUAAAUGAUCAAACAUUAUUAUUUUCAUAAGAGAUAGAUGGCUAUUGACUGAGUUAACUAUUUGACUUAGUAUCAAAAAGUGUUGAUACUGUUUCUGACUUGUGUGACAAUGACUAUGCUUUGGGGAGAACACAGACUUUGACAGAGUUGUAAUUAAAUGGGUAAAAUUAACCAAACUGACCAAAGUACUUAUGGAGUAA
This 2032-nucleotide long non-coding RNA is filed under the name Lynx pardinus (Iberian lynx). Lineage: Eukaryota; Metazoa; Chordata; Mammalia; Carnivora; Felidae. The record is from RNAcentral.